RNAcentral lists this ribosomal RNA (253 nucleotides) under uncultured bacterium. Its description in RNAcentral is "partial 16S ribosomal RNA". It matches the Rfam family "Bacterial small subunit ribosomal RNA", at positions 524 to 776 of the family's 1533-position model. The record is from RNAcentral.
UACAGAGACUGCAAGCGUUAUUCGGAUUCACUGGGCGUAAAGGGUGCGCAGGCGGUUGUGUGUGUCAGGUGUGAAAGCCCGGGGCUUAACCCCGGAAUUGCGCCUGAAGCUACAUGACUAGAGCAUUGGAGAGGGUAGCGGAAUUCACGGUGUAGCAGUGAAAUGCGUAGAUAUCGUGAGGAACACCAGAGGCGAAGGCGGCUACCUGGACAAUUGCUGACGCUCAGGCACGAAAGCGUGGGGAGCAAAAGGG